This 761-nucleotide ribosomal RNA is filed under the name Acinetobacter sp. Its description in RNAcentral is "bacterial SSU rRNA". It matches the Rfam family "Bacterial small subunit ribosomal RNA", at positions 55 to 813 of the family's 1533-position model. Lineage: Bacteria; Pseudomonadati; Pseudomonadota; Gammaproteobacteria; Moraxellales; Moraxellaceae. The record is from RNAcentral.
AUGCAGUCGAGCGGAGAUGAGGUGCUUGCACCUUAUCUUAGCGGCGGACGGGUGAGUAAUGCUUAGGAAUCUGCCUAUUAGUGGGGGACAACAUUCCGAAAGGAAUGCUAAUACCGCAUACGCCCUACGGGGGAAAGCAGGGGAUCUUCGGACCUUGCGCUAAUAGAUGAGCCUAAGUCGGAUUAGCUAGUUGGUGGGGUAAAGGCCUACCAAGGCGACGAUCUGUAGCGGGUCUGAGAGGAUGAUCCGCCACACUGGGACUGAGACACGGCCCAGACUCCUACGGGAGGCAGCAGUGGGGAAUAUUGGACAAUGGGCGGAAGCCUGAUCCAGCCAUGCCGCGUGUGUGAAGAAGGCCUUUUGGUUGUAAAGCACUUUAAGCGAGGAGGAGGCUACUUAGAUUAAUACUCUAGGAUAGUGGACGUUACUCGCAGAAUAAGCACCGGCUAACUCUGUGCCAGCAGCCGCGGUAAUACAGAGGGUGCGAGCGUUAAUCGGAUUUACUGGGCGUAAAGCGUGCGUAGGCGGCUGAUUAAGUCGGAUGUGAAAUCCCUGAGCUUAACUUAGGAAUUGCAUUCGAUACUGGUCAGCUAGAGUAUGGGAGAGGAUGGUAGAAUUCCAGGUGUAGCGGUGAAAUGCGUAGAGAUCUGGAGGAAUACCGAUGGCGAAGGCAGCCAUCUGGCCUAAUACUGACGCUGAGGUACGAAAGCAUGGGGAGCAAACAGGAUUAGAUACCCUGGUAGUCAUGCCGUAACGAUGUC